GGAGAGAUGGCAGAGCGGUCGAAUGCGGCGGUCUUGAAAACCGUUGAAGGUUACACUUCCGGGGGUUCGAAUCCCUCUCUCUCCGCCA
RNAcentral lists this transfer RNA (88 nucleotides) under Sphingobacteriales bacterium. RNAcentral describes it as "tRNA-Ser". It matches the Rfam family "tRNA". From Rfam's summary of the family: Transfer RNA (tRNA) molecules are approximately 80 nucleotides in length. The record is from RNAcentral. Lineage: Bacteria; Pseudomonadati; Bacteroidota; Sphingobacteriia; Sphingobacteriales.